GACGAACGCUGGCGGCGUGCUUAACACAUGCAAGUCGAACGGAAAGGCCCUGCUUUUGUGGGGUGCUCGAGUGGCGAACGGGUGAGUAACACGUGAGUAACCUGCCCUUGACUUUGGGAUAACUUCAGGAAACUGGGGCUAAUACCGGAUAGGAGCUCCUGCUGCAUGGUGGGGGUUGGAAAGUUUCGGCGGUUGGGGAUGGACUCGCGGCUUAUCAGCUUGUUGGUGGGGUAGUGGCUUACCAAGGCUUUGACGGGUAGCCGGCCUGAGAGGGUGACCGGCCAAAUUGGGACUGAGGUACCGCCCAGACUCCUACGGGAGGAAGCAGUGGGGAAUAUUGCACAAUGGGCGGAAGCCUGAUGCAGCAACGCCGCGUGCGGGAUGACGGCCUUCGGGUUGUAAACCGCUUUCGCCUGUGACGAAGCGUGAGUGACGGUAAUGGGUAAAGAAGCACCGGCUAACUACGUG
RNAcentral lists this ribosomal RNA (468 nucleotides) under uncultured bacterium. Its description in RNAcentral is "partial 16S ribosomal RNA". It matches the Rfam family "Bacterial small subunit ribosomal RNA", at positions 28 to 507 of the family's 1533-position model. The record is from RNAcentral.